CCAGACUCCUACGGGAGGCAGCAGUGGGGGAUAUUGCACAAUGGGGGGAACCCUGAUGCAGCGACGCCGCGUGGGUGAAGGAGUGCUUCGGCAUGUAAAGCCCUAUCGGCAGGGAAGAAGCAAGACGGUACCUGACUAAGAAGCCCCGGCUAACUACGUGCCAGCAGCCGCGGUAAUACGUAGGUGGCAAGCGUUGUCCGGAUUUACUGGGUGUAAAGGGCGUGUAGCCGGGCCGGCAAGUCAGAUGUGAAAUCCCAAGGCUCAACCUUGGAACUGCAUUUGAAACUGUUGGUCUUGAGUAUCGGAGAGGCAGGCGGAAUUCCUAGUGUAGCGGUGAAAUGCGUAGAUAUUAGGAGGAACACCGGCGGCGAAGGCGGCCUGCUGGACCGUGACUGACGUUGAGGCUCGAGAGCGUGGGGAGCAAACAGGAUUAGAUACCCGGGUAC
Molecule: ribosomal RNA, 446 nt
Filed under: uncultured bacterium
Lineage: Bacteria
Description: bacterial SSU rRNA
Rfam family: Bacterial small subunit ribosomal RNA
Source: RNAcentral